AGUGUUUAUAUCAAAACACAUUCAUCUUCUACUAAAACAAAAAACAUUUCAACUCUUUACACACACACACUCUCUCUCUCUCUCCAUGUGUUCGAGCUAACCAGAAGCAAACGUUCGAACAUGGCCGCAAAGCUAAAUGUGCGAUUACAAUCACAGGAUUGAAGAAAUGGAUAUUAGUUCCUCGAUGAUACAGAAGCCGGUCAGUUUCCCGUCACGCACAACCAAACUAUUGCUGCUUUAGCUCCGACAGUGGGUGGCUAUCAGAGCUAUUAGAAACCUGUAAUAGUGCAAAAGCAGACUUAAAGGUUAUCAUGACGAUCUGUAUCAUACCUAACGAACACGUGGACCUGUAGCAAAUAUAUGAGGCAUAUUUGGGUUAUUCUGUAUUACAAAUUGCCAAUAGCUUGUACAAAACUUGCAAAAAGAAAUAAAGAAAAGUCAAAUAUCUUCCCAUUAUUACUAUUUUUUUAUUUUUUUUUAGAAUUGUGAUUCAAUAAUCAUGCUGUUACAGUAAUAUCAUGGCUCUGUUUGCCAAUACCAUAUUUUGAGCUUAUAGCUUAUAAGCUCAUAAGAGAAAUAAAGUCUCAUUUGGCAACAUUUUUUUAUAUCUCAUUAUGAGUUCAUAGCUUAUCAUUUUUCC
This is a long non-coding RNA of Medicago truncatula (barrel medic), 640 nucleotides long. RefSeq lists it as uncharacterized. The record is from RefSeq and is a predicted model, not a curated record. Lineage: Eukaryota; Viridiplantae; Streptophyta; Magnoliopsida; Fabales; Fabaceae. The transcript has 3 exons.